RNAcentral lists this long non-coding RNA (3631 nucleotides) under Triticum aestivum (bread wheat). RNAcentral's name for it is "long non-coding RNA (TAES_LNC016738)". Lineage: Eukaryota; Viridiplantae; Streptophyta; Magnoliopsida; Poales; Poaceae. The record is from RNAcentral.
CCCUAUGAUCGACUACGUCACCGACGACACUUCUUCCCUUUCAAUGGAGCUUCCUGGCAAGCCCCCCUUUGAUCAUCCCGAUAUCGCCCAUUAUAUUCUCUCAUGCUUGCAUUAGAUUUUGCUACUGUAAUUGAUUGCUCCUAUUCUGAUGCAUAGCCUGCUUUUGUACCUGCUGUUGUACCUUACCUGCAUACCCUAAACUGCUUAGUACAGGUUGGUUAAUGAUCCAUCAGUGACCCCCACCUUUGUUGGAGAAUGUUGCAGAAAAUAAAAAAAAUCUACGCUUCACCAAGAUCAACCUAUGGAGUCAUCUAGCAAUGAGAGAGAGGAGUGCAUCUACAUACCCUUGUAGAUCGUGAGCGGAAGCGUUCAAGAGAACGGGGUUAAGGGAGUCGUACUCGUCGUGAUCCAAAUCACCGAAGAUCCUAGCGCGAAACGGACGGCACCUCCGCAUUCAACACACGUACAGAGCGGAGACGUCUCCCGCGCCUUGAUCCAGCAAGGAGGAGGGAGAGGUUGAGGAAGAGAUCUCCAGCAGCAGCACGACGGCGUGGUGGUGAUGGAGAGGCAGUACUCCGGCAGGGCUUCGCCAAGCGUCUGCGAAGGAGGAGAGGUGUUGGGGAGGGGAGGGGCUGCGCCUUGGAGGUGUGUAUGCAACCCUCCACUCGCCCCUCUAUUUAUAGGGGGAGGAAGGGGGCCGGCCCCCUCUAGAUGAGAUCUAGAGGGGGUGCGGCGGCCAAGGGGGGACUUGCCCCCCAAGCAAGGGGGGCGCCCCCCUUAGGGUUUCCCCCCCAACCCUAGGCGCAUGGGCCCAAGGGGUGGAUGCGCCCAACCCACUAGGGGCUGGUUCCCUUCCCUCCACGGCCCAUGAGGCCCUCCGGGAGAGGUGGACCCCCAGAACCCAUCCGGUGGCCCUGGUACAAUACCGGUAUUACCCCGAAACUUUCCGAUGAUCGUAUUACAACUAUCUUCACCUCCGAACCAUUCCGGAACUCCUCGUGACGUCCGAGAUCUCAUCCGGGACUCCGAACAACAUUCGGUAAUCACAUACAAGUCUUCCUAAUAACCCUAGUGUCACCGAACCUUAAGUGUGUAGACCCUACCGGUUCGGGAAUCAUGUAGACAUGACCGAGACAGCUCUUCGGCCAAUAACCAACAGCGGGAUCUGGAUACUCAUGUUGGUUCCCACAUGUUCCAUGAUGAUCUCAUCGGAUGAACCACAAUGUCGAGGAUUCAAGUAAUCCUGUAUACAAUUCACUUUGUCAAUCGGUACGUUACUUGCCCGAGAUUCGAUCGUCGGUAUCCCAAUACCUCGUUCAAUCUCGUUACCGGCAAGUCACUUUACUUGUUACGUAAUGCAUGAUCCCGUGACCAACCACUUGGUCACAUUGAGCUCAUUAUGAUGAUGCAUUACCGAGUGGGCCCAGAGAUACCUCUCCGUCAUACGGAGUGACAAAAUCCCAGUCUCGAUCCGUGUCAACCCAACACACACUUUCAGAGAUACCUGUAGUAUACCUUUAUAGCCACCCAGUUAUGUUGUGACGUUUGGUACACCUAAAGCACUCCUACGGUAUGCGGGAGUUACACGAUCUCAUGGUCUAAAGAAAUGAUACUUGACAUUAGAAAAGCUCUAGCAAACGAACUACACGAUCUUGUGCUAUGCUUAGGAUUGGGUCUUGUCCAUCACAUCAUUCUCCUAAUGAUGUGAUCCCGUUAUCAAUGACAUCCAAUAUCCAUAGUCAGGAAACCAUGACUAUCUGUUGAUCAACGAGCUAGUCAACUAGAGGCUCACUAGGGACAUGUUGUGGUCUAUGUAUUCACACAUGUAUUACGAUUUCCGGAUAACACAAUUAUAGCAUGAACAAUAGACAAUUAUCAUGAACAAGGAAAUAUAAUAAUAAUAACCAUUUUAUUAUUGCCUCUAGGGCAUAUUUCCAACAACCUUGUCUUUGUUGCCCCUGCUUCAUCAUCGACGACUCGAUCAACAUGAUCGACGACCAGAGCCCGACACGUCACAUCACGUCAUGCCCCUUUUGUUGCUCGAUUCUGCAGAGCUACUAUCGAGUGCCGAGGGUGAUACCUCGUAACACACUCCUGAUGAUAAUUCUGUAGUGUAGCUAUUCGGUUGUGAUCAUCGAGGGUGAUUCCUCCUUGACCACUCCCGAUACGACUCUAUCAUGCAACCCCUCAAGUGUGAACCUCGAGGGUGGUUCCUCUUACGUUCACCUUGAUGAUUACAUCGAGUGGAAUCCACCAAGGGUGAUUCCUCGAGUUUUCCCCUUGAUUUUUGGACACACGGUUACCCGGACUUUACUUGAGACCAUUGUUGAAGUCAGGUCGGCCCUGAGGGGAACCCGCGAGUUGAUGUGAAAGUCGGCCGGGCCCGGAGAGCACCCACGAGUUUUCCACGUGGCACGGCCGAGCAGUCUGGGCCCUUGCCGUAAGUCCACGGGACAUGGCGACGGGGUCACAUUAGCAUGAGUCUCUGCUCAUUUUCGCGAGCCCCCAAUGCACUAAUGGUUUGGGUAUUUGUUCUGAGUUGGCCUUUGGCCUUUACGCACUAACCACCACGCCAGAAUAGUUAUGGGCCUCGACGUUGCAGUAUCAACCGAAGCUUUGUCAGACGUCCAGUUCAAUAUUGUGGUCGGGCCAGAUCACGCCAUCCAGGUAGAGGUGGUGCUAGUACCCCCUUGCGCACAACGACCCGGAGUGUUGCGGGCAAUGGACCCAGACCCCGGAGUGCUUAGGAUGUAGACCGGUGGGGACCUCUCUGCUGAGCCUAGGUAGGACUAUGACGUGUUGAUCUUCCGAGGCCUGGCAUUGACCCAGUAAAGUGUGUCCGGCCAGAGUAAUCAAACGUGUUGGGUAACAUGGUGCACCCCUACAGGGAAGAUAUAUAUUCGAAUACCGUGUCCGCGGUAAUGGACGUUCAGACUUAUAUCCUAAUCUUAUAUAACUCGAAAUGGAUACUUGAGAUAUGUGAUGGAUAUGUGGCUCCAAGAUUGCUUUUCCGCAGGAAGUCAGGGAAGGAUCUCUGGGCGUUGGUUCUACAACAUGUUUGUUAAAUAUUAAAAUGCUAUUCUUUACUCUUCUACCUGCUGCAAGAUGCUUGUAGUUGCUUGGAGAUGCUAGUCUUUGAUAGGCUAGGCCUUCCCCCUCUAUUCUGGCAUUCUGCAGUUCAGUCCACAGAUACAAACCUUCCAUUUGAUACCAAUGCAUACUUAGUAUAGAUCUGAUGCUUGCGAGUACUUUGGAUGAGUACUCACGGUUGCUUUGCUACCUCUUUCCCCCCUUCUUUCUUCUUUUCGGUUGAUGCAACCAGAUGGUGGAUCCCAGGAGCCAGAUGCUACCCCCAACAGCUUAUACUACUACCCCAAUGGUGCUAGCUACUAUGUGGAGACCGCCGACGACCAGGAGUAGUUAGGAGGUCCCAGGCAGGAGGCCUUGCCUCUUCGAUCGUGUUGCUUUUGUGCUAGCCUUCUUAAGGCAUCCUUGUUUAACUUAUGUUUGUACUCAGAUAUUGUUGCUUCCACUGACUCUUGUGUAUCAAGCUUGUAUUCGAGCCCCCAAGGCCCUGCUUGUAAUAUAAAGCUUGUAUUAUUUUAUUUGUGUCUAGAGUUGUGUUGUGAUA